CAACAAUAUGAAAUCUUAUGUUCGGAGGACCACACAACUUUAUAUACAUUGAUAAGUGCUGUAAGUAGUGUUUUGUGUGUCUUGAAUUUAAAAAUCCAUAGUUAUGGACAACAGGACUCCAGGGCCAAUCAUAGUUAUCGGUAGAGCUUCUUUGUUCGCGACAUCUAUUUUCUGUAGUUUUAUGACAUCAUUAUGUCACUGAGCCGCAGGAGGGGCAUGUCAGCCACCUGUGAAACAAAUGAAAGUAGGACUUGUGCUAUAGAGCUUCUUCUACAAUACCAGUUUCAUUACAAGAUAAUCAUAUACUGCUGCUGAGAUGGAAGAAUGUUCUUCUACUUAAUCCAAUAAAGGACAUUGUGAUGAGUAAGCCAAUGCAGAUGCGAAAGGACAAAGAGGAAGACAAGGUUGAACAAGAAGCUGCACCAGCUGGACAAGAACUGAUUGUUCAGCCUGACAGACCUCACCAUGGCCUGUAUAAUCAGGGAGCCACAUGUUACCUCAACAGUGUCCUGCAAGUUCUCUUCAUGACGGCUGAGCUCCACAACAGGUUUGAAACAACUGCUUUUAUCUUUAACGAGAGUAAAAUAAAUGUUACCAUAAUAUAAUGUUUAAUAAUAUAAGGCAACUCUGGACCAGAUUAUGACGUUAUUUAUUUGGGUGCAUCUGGGUGUUUCAGACCCACAAAUAUCCAUCAUGGAGCAUUUCAAGACAAGCAGUAAGCAGUCACUAUUCACUGAGAAUCUAUUGUCUACCUAAAGGUUCGAACCACAAUCACAAACAGAUCGUCGAUUGAGAAAAAUCUUUGAAGACAUGAAGAAGAAAACAUGUAAAACAAAAAAAGUCACUGCAACAUUGGGCAUUGAAAACGGUAAGCUGGGCAGUAUUGAGAAACUUCAAUGAAAUCAGCAUGUUAGAUUCAGUUUAAUGUAUCAUUUUGCAGUUGAUGAACGCCGUGAUGCAGCUGAAUGUCUGGAGAUGAUCCUACAUAAGGUCAGCCCACAGGCCGCUGAGGUGAGCAGUCUACAACAACC
RNAcentral lists this long non-coding RNA (1031 nucleotides) under Sparus aurata (gilthead seabream). RNAcentral describes it as "lncRNA (ENSSAUG00010008560.1)". The record is from RNAcentral. Lineage: Eukaryota; Metazoa; Chordata; Actinopteri; Spariformes; Sparidae.